This 138-nucleotide ribosomal RNA is filed under the name Aotus nancymaae (Ma's night monkey). The record is from RNAcentral. Lineage: Eukaryota; Metazoa; Chordata; Mammalia; Primates; Aotidae.
CUUUAUGGCCAUACCACCCUGAAUGCACCUGAUCUCAUCUGAUCUCGGAAGCUAAGCAGGGUCGGGCCUGGUUACGAGCCCUUUGUCAGUUAUGCUUGUUGCACGUACCUUCUUUUACUCUGUGGGUUACCUUAAAUA